GCGCCGACCAGUGUUGCAAGAAACCGGUUCUUCCUCUCCCUCCGCCCGCACCCAUCCCGCCUCCUCUCUCUCUCUCUCUCGCCCUCUCUCGUUUCUUCUUCGUCCCGAUUCUUCUCCCUUCCCCCUCCCGCGCCUCGAUUCUUCUUCAUCCUCUCCCUCCGAACCCUGCAUCGCCUCCCAUAAAAAUGAUCGACGCCUCCCCUCCUCCCCCUCCUCCGCCGCCUCCGCCGACUUUUCAUGCGCCGCCGUCUGCUCCACCUCCGCCACCGCGGCCGAGGCCAGCUCGCCGCCGUCGUCGGUGUGCUCCGCCUGUGGCGGCCCCACCGCCUCCAUCUCCUCUGCCGCCAGCCGCCACUUCCUUGGCUUCGUCGCCGAUCUCUCCCACUCUGUCCGCGGCCGCAAGAUCUCCGCCACUUUCCUUCUUUCAAUAUUAGGUUUAUGACAAAAUCUUACACAUAGAGUGUGACUUCUAUGACUGUGUGGCGAAAUUGUUGUCUAAUUAGCAGGAUUUUCUAAUGACCAAAUUAUGCAACGCACUGUGAUGGUCCCUUUCUACAAAAUCAGUUUUGUUAUUUAAAAUUUUGGAAUAUGGUAGCAAAUUUGGUGUUUGGCAGACUGCUAUGUGAUUCAGGUUUGAUCCCAGGCAAAUGCGAGCAGAUCACAUGUAGUUUUAUAGCCUAAGUUAGAACUUUUUUUUUUAUCAUGCUUUUUAUAGCCUAAGUUAGAUACUUUUUUUUUUAUCAUGCUUGACGAUUCCUUUUAUGACAAAAAAAUUAAGGUUCUGUCUCUCUCAAUGGGUAGUUUCUACACAUUAUAGAAGAUUAGUGUUAUUUUGAGUUAUGCUGGAAUGUUGAAAGGGGAAGACAGAUAUUAUUGCUAGUAUAUAUGCAGAAUACAAUACCUUUGUUUGUUCCCACAUUAUAUUUUAUCCUUGGGUAUCAUAGAGAACAAUAUCUAAUAUGUCACAGUUGUUCUGAGUUGUAUCUGGGCAAUGUGUUGAGCUGGUCCUUAAGUUUAGAAUGGUCAAUGAAAUAACAACAAUUAUUAAAGCAUAUUUGACCUGUACGUAUAUUCUCUUUUAGUUAUGCCUACUAAUUAUUUCCUUAGAUCAAGUUUUCUUAAAUCUUGGGUCUACUGUUUCUGG
RNAcentral lists this long non-coding RNA (1144 nucleotides) under Phoenix dactylifera (date palm). Its description in RNAcentral is "long non-coding RNA (PDAC_LNC015349)". Lineage: Eukaryota; Viridiplantae; Streptophyta; Magnoliopsida; Arecales; Arecaceae. The record is from RNAcentral.